GCUGCCAACAUAAAGUCCCAUACGUUGCAUGGAGACAACCCUGGGAAGGACCAGUUCUUCUCCUUUGGAAAGUACUUCAGAGGCCACUCAAGGGAUGGGGUAACAUCUCAGCUGCUUCUCCGUUGUUUAAAUGUCUCAAAUCAACUUUCUGCUGUUGUUUUCUCUACUUGUCCAUGUUCACUUUCCCUGUGCCCUAUGGCUGAUGAGAAAGUUCCUCUUUUCUAAGAGACCACUAUCUGGGAAAAUCAUGAAGAUCUGAAUUCAAUCUGCAGUGACAAUAGUAUCAUUUAUGAAUGGAGAGUCCUGCCUGUCUAACUUGCUGCCCAAUGCUUUCAUAUAGCUUAUAAUGCAUAUUGUAAAAUGCAUAACAUAUACUGCAUAAUACAAAAUGGCAAUAGAGAAAUUCGUAACCAUUUACAAACUACAAAAGUGGUCUGUAAAUGAGAAUGAACUACUUUAUAUGAUAAUUUAUUAUUUUAAACCUUUGUUCAAAGUUCACAGUAGACCAAUUGUCUUGUGAUUCUCCUAUAACCAGUGAGAAGUUAAUUCAUUGCUCUUUCCGAGCUAGUUGCAUACUCAAAAGUAGACAUGAGAGAACUUAAAGUAUUUUUUCUAUCAUGGGAGUAUGACUCAUACGCUUUUAUCUGUACUCAUUCUCUUGCCAGCAGUGUUGUUAAGUCUUCCAGAGAAAGAAGAUGACUAUACAAAUAAAUCUGAAAUUUUAUUAAAAUGCUCAUGUUCAUUUUAAUAAAUAAUAUAAUCUUUAAAUCUUAAGUGCAAGGGGGAAAAUGGUAUUUUUUUAUUCAGUAUCUUCUGCACUUCACAGUAGAAAAGAUAUCUGGAGUAUUAAGCAUUUUAAGCCAUAAUGGAGAUAUAUCUGGCAAUGCAGUUUCCUCUGAGUUACAAGAUAAAGAUCUUUGACCUGCUAGUUAGAGGCCUGCCAUAGUCCGGGCACUCCAUUCCUUUGCAUAGCAGUUGCAGGUCUUGUCUGCAUUACUCAUGUAGUUUAUAAGAUAUUCAAACAGUCUAGUCUUAUGUGUAAUGUUUGGUGUACUGUAACUGUAUCUAAGUUGACCCUUUGCCAGCAGUAUUCAGUGAGGAAAAAAAAAAAACAA
Molecule: long non-coding RNA, 1115 nt
Organism: Tympanuchus pallidicinctus (lesser prairie-chicken)
Lineage: Eukaryota; Metazoa; Chordata; Aves; Galliformes; Phasianidae
Exons: 2
Source: RefSeq, a predicted model, not a curated record